UGGUUGAUCCUGCCAGUAAUCAUAUGCUUGUCUCAAAGAUUAAGCCAUGCAUGUCUAAGUAUAAGCAAUUGUACAGCGAGACUGCGGAUGGCUCAUUAAAUCAGUUAUAAUUUGCGUGAUUAAAUUUAAUUGGAUAACCGUAGCAAUUCUAGGGCUAAUACAUGAUUUGCAGCGCAAGCUGUGAGUUUAUGGGCUUGAACUAACGCGGUUUUCCGUUUUAGAUGAUUCACUGUAAAUAGUCUGAUCGCAUGGCCUUGUGCCGGCGACAAUUCAUUCAAAUAUCUGCCCUAUCAGCUUUCGAUGGUGGUGUAGUUGACCACCAUGGCCAUAACGGGUACGGGGAACCAGGGUUCGGUUCCGGAGAGGGAGCAUUGAGAGAUGGCUACCACUUCCAAGGAAGGCAGCAGGCGCGCAAAUUACCCAAUAGCAAUACGCUGAGGUAGUGACAAGAAAUAACAAUACGGGUCCCUUAAAAGGACUCGUAAUUGGAAUGAGUACAAUUUAAACCCCUUAACGAGGAACAAUUGGAGGACAAGUCUGGUGCCAGCACCCGCGGUAAUUCCAGCUCCAAUAGCGUAUAUUAAAGUUGUUGCAGUUAAAAAGCUCGUAGUCGAAUUUUGGGGUUCUGCUUGUCUGGUCUGCCGAGAAGGUGUGUACUGGCUUGCAAGCCCCUAUUCUCAGUGCUGGCCGCUGCUCUUAACUGAGUGGAGGUUUGGCUCUGGGACUUUUACUUUGAAAAAAUUAGGGUGUUCAAAGCAGGCGUGACCGACCAGAAUAAAUUAGCAUAGGAUAAUGGAAUAUGGCGACUGAGGCCUUUUCCGUUGGUUCGGGGUCUCACGCAAUGAUUAAUAGGAACAGUUGGGGGUAUUCAUAUGUAGUGGCUAGAGGUGAAAUUCUUGGAUUCACUACAGAUGAACUGCUGCGAAAGCGUUUAUCAAGGACGUUUUCAUUGAUCAAGAACGAAAGUUAGGGGAUCGAAGACGAUCAGAUACCGCCGUAGUCUUAACCUUAAACGUUGCCGACUGGAGAUUGUGGGACGUUACUUGGAUGACUCUCACAGCAUCCCCCGGGAAACCAAAGUUUUUGGGUUCUGGGGGGAGUAUGGUCGCAAGGCUGAAACUUAAAGGAAUUGACGGAAAGGUACACCAGGAGUGGAGCCUGCGGCUUAAUUUGACACAACACGGGAAACCUCACCAGGUCCAGACACAAUAAGGAUUGACAGAUUGAGAGCUCUUUCUUGAUUUUGUGGGUGGUGGUGCAUGGCCGUUCUUGGUCGGUGGAGUGAUUUGUCUGGUUAAUUCCGAUAACGGACGAGACCUCUAUCUACUAAAUAGCCAAAUAAACAUCUGACGGGUGAAGGUUUGGGGCAGUGUGGCAGCUUCGGCUGUUGCUCUCUCUGGAUUGGAUCCUUGAUGAUUUGUAAAAGCUUCUUAGAGAGACUAUCAGGGUUUACCUGAUGGAAGGGAGGCAAUAACAGGUCUGUGAUGCCCUUAGAUGUCUUGGGCCGCACG
RNAcentral lists this ribosomal RNA (1511 nucleotides) under metagenome. RNAcentral's name for it is "SSU rRNA". It matches the Rfam family "Eukaryotic small subunit ribosomal RNA", at positions 5 to 1493 of the family's 1831-position model. The record is from RNAcentral.